This 9691-nucleotide long non-coding RNA is filed under the name Malus domestica (apple). RNAcentral describes it as "long non-coding RNA (MDOM_LNC014903)". The record is from RNAcentral. Lineage: Eukaryota; Viridiplantae; Streptophyta; Magnoliopsida; Rosales; Rosaceae.
UCACCAACUAGGUGAUCGAAAGUACGUCUAGUACUCCAAAAUUAUACAUGAGCAUGACUCAUGUCAAUCAUACAUAAACAUUCAUGAGCAUCACUCAUGUCAAUCAUACAUAAACAUUCAUGAGCAUCACUCAUGACAAUCAUACAUAAACAUUCAUUACCAUUAUUUAUGUCAACAUUCAUGAGCAUCACUCAUGUGAACAUCCAUGAGCAUCACUCAUAUCAAUCAACAUAGACAUUCAUGAGCAUCACUCAUGUCAAUCAGCUUCAAAAGCUUCAUUUACAGAGCUCUAGCUUCAAAAGCUUCAUUUACAAAAGCUCUAGCUUUAAAAGCUUCAUUUACAAAGCUCCAGCUUCAAAAGCUUCAUUUACAAAAGCUCUAGCUUCAAAAGCUUCAUUUACAGAGCUCUAGCUUCAAAAGCUUCAUUUACAAAAGCUCUAGCUUCGAAAGCUUCAUUUACAGAGCUUCAGCUUCAAAGCUUCACUUGCAAAGCUUCAACUACAAAGCUUCAGUGCAGAGUAUACAAAUACCGCCUCCGAACAACCGCCUCUUCGGCCCAUACAUGGAUUCAAUUUGAAGUCUCCAGCCAACAUACUCUAUUGACCGAAGACUUGAGGGACUACAUUAUGUACCAUAUAUUGGGUCUCAACUGGGCCUCAUGAAAAAUACUUGAAUGACUCUAGCCCAUUAUUCAUGUAUUAAGGAGCGAGCCCUUAUUCUAUAAAAGGGACUCCCUCACCAUCAUUAGAGAGUAUCAACUCUAGCCCGUUAUUCAUGUAUUGAUGAGCGAUCCCUUAUUCUAUAAAAGGGACUCCCUCACCAUCAUUAGAGAGCAUUGCCGCCUACUGAGCAACCAUCUUGUCGCGAGCAUCAACUCUAGCCCAUAUUUAUGUAUUGAGGAGUGAGCCCUUACUCAGUAAAAGGGACUCCCUCACCUUCAAACGCCACAAGCCGAGCCAACUAAGGCAACAUAAGCCACAAGCAGAGCAGCCUCGCAACAUAUGCUACUUCUAGUUGAGCAUCAUUUCAGAUUGGGCACCGCCUCAUAUCGAGUAUCAGUUCUAGACGACAUCUAGUUACUUCGGCCCACACAUGGACUGAAUUUCAAGUCUCCAGCCAAAAGACUCUUGACUGAAGACUUGAGGGACUACUGUUUCUACCAUACUUAGGGCCUCCGUAUUUAGACCUCGUAUAAAUACUCGGGGGACUUAAAUGUAAUUAUGUAAUAAAGGAAUGGGCAAAUAUGUAAUAAGUGAGGAGCCCUUAUUCUAUAAAAGGACCCCUCACCCUCACAAUUAGGGAGAGCCUCCUCACAUCCCCUAAGAUCUAAGCUCUCUCAAAGCUCUCACUCUCAUAUUCAAAGCUCUCUUUCACAAUCAUCUUAGAGAAAUACAAUAAUCAGUGUGGACGUAGCCUAAACAUUGGGGUGAACCACAUUACAUCUUGUGUUAUUUACUUUCUUGCAGAUUCACAGUCGGAUUUACGUUGUUCCAAGACCUCAGGUUUUGUGCAUCAACAACCCUAUAUAAAUACAAUGAAGGAACUCGAUCUUCAAUUUAAAAUAUUUACACUAGUGGAUACCACAAAAUCUUAUGUUAUACUUAAUGAAAGUAUGAAUAAACUCUUGAGUGUUAGUAAAUAUAUCGUUUUGAUGGGAUACGCAUUCUAUGAAACUAAUUUCAAUGAUUCAACCAUCAAUGAAUACAAUGAAUUAACUCCUUGACUCUAUAUGAAUACAAUGAAUGAACUCGAUCUUCGAUUUAAAAUAUUUACACUAGUAAUUACCACAAAAUCUUAUGUUAUAAUUAAUGAAACUAUGAAUAAACUCUUAAAGUGUUAGUGAAUCUAUCGUUUUGAUGGGAUACGCAUUCUUCGAAACUAGUUUCAACGAUCCAACCGUCAAACAUGUUUGUAUAUACUUCGAGAUCGCAUACGCCAAAAAUUGCAAAAAAUAAACAUUCAUAGAUCAAGCAACGGAACAAAAUUUUUCGACGGUUAUCAAUGAAAAAUCACAAUGUAACGGUUAUUUUAACUUCGAUUUUGACGAUUUUUUAUAGCUAUCCUUGACCCUAUAUGAAUACAAUGAAUGAAUUUGAUCUUCAAUUUAAAAUAUUUACACUAGUGGAUUAUGUUAUACCUUAAUGAAAGUAUAAAUAAACUCAGUGUUAGUGAAUCUAUCAUUUUGAUGGGAUAUGCAUUCUACAAAACUAAUUUCAACGAUCCAACCGUGAAACUUGUUUGUAUAUGCUACACUCUUUAACUUCGAUUUUGAUCAUUUUUUACAGCUACACUCUUUGACCCUAUAUGAAUACAAUGAAUGAAUUUGAUCUUCAAUUUACAAUAUUUACACUUGUGGAUAUCUUAUGUCAUGAUGAUCGAUGAAAAUUGAGGAUUUUGUAAAAUGAAUAACAUGCAAGCUUUGAGUUCCAUUGGCAAGGUUUAAACUUUUGAGAAAGGCUUCACAACCUUAAAAACAAAAACUCUUUCAUUUUGCAUAUCUUUGCACAUUUAAUAUUUUGUAAUAGACUAGUAGUGUAUGAAAGUUUGUUUGUUAGGCUUUUAUUUUUGAGUGUAGAUGUAGUACUUAAACAACAAUGUGUUUUAAUGUUUUGAAGUAAUAUUUAUGUGGCAAUGUGUGGUAUGUGCAAAUUUAAGAAAAAAAAUAUUUUUCUUAACGGGUCAUAACGGGUCAGGUCACUUUACAUGUUGGGUAAAGUGACUCGACCUGUUAAGGACUCGUUAAGAUAAUGGGUGUGACACGAUACGAUCCGUUAAGAUAACAGGUGUUACACGAAAACGACCGACACGUAUUAGAUAUUACAGUAUUAAUAAAAAUCAAAGAGAUGUCGAGUAUUGAAGUUCUUCUUCUGAUGAAGAAAUCCAUUAAUUCUUGAUAUAAAAGAGACGUCGAGUGUUGAAGUUCUUUCCACUUUUUUUUUUGUAUAUAAAUCUCACUUCUUUUGAAUAACGUAUAAUAAUGGUAUAUGUUUCGUAAUUCGAAGUGUUCAAACUUUUAAUCUUUAUUUGAAGAUCAUUCUUAUGAAAAAAAUCAUUCCAAUCGAAAAUCAUUUAGUUAUUCACAAAAAGUGAGAUAUGUGCAUUAUUCCAUAGAGGAACGCAAAUAUUAUUCUAUAAUUAUUUGAAUCCAUAAUCUUGUUUCUCUUAAGGGAAAUUUCAUUUGAACUCAUCUAACAUCUUUCUACACCCAACUUACUCUCUUCACCCAUAUUAUUUUUUUAUUAAAGAAUUAAUAUCUCUUUAAACCCAAAUUUAUUACCUAAACCACCAUCUCAAAACCAAUUCAAAAUGUAAAGUUAUUUUUACACCCAUUCCCUUUAUAGAAUAACAUCUCUAAUUGAAUGUUUUUAUUCAAAGAGGCGUCAUUUGCCACUCUAUAAUUGCAUAUGACGUAUAAGACUGGCAUUUCCAUGGUUGUUUUUUUCUUUUUGCUACCAAACCCAUCCAUAGAUUUGAACUUUCCACAUAAUGCAAUGAAAGCUCCAGUUCAAUCCAUCACUUAAACAUUUGACCUUGAUGCUUUGAAUUUGGAUGGAGGCAUGUUUGGUGUGGGGUAAUAUUCUCAUUAUCCUUUUCAUUCAUCUUUAUGUUCUACUGUAUGAUGCAAAUAACCUUGUUUCCUCAGGGCUUAUGAUAAUCAUCACGUGAGUGAGGAGGACAUCACACUACCAGGUUGUAGAAGUUAAUUGUUGUUUGGAAUUCUCAUCUUUAUUAUUUGUCUUUAUCUGCACCAAGAAUCAAGUUAUAUGUCUUUUCAAUACUAAUCAAAAGUCCUUGCAAGGUGUUUUGGGGAACAGACAGACACAUGCAUAGAAAAACAAAUACAAUAUAAUAUAAAAAGUAUGAAAUUUAAUCCAAAGAAGAAGCAAAUGAACAAAAUAUCCAUCGAUUGAGUCAUACCUUAGUUGGAGGAUUCAAAACUUCAAAAUCACCAUCCAUCAAUAGAAAAGCUUGUUUUUCUCUAUCAGAGCUAUUAGGGUUUUAGCGGGAAAGAACGUAGGAUAGACAAAGGGUGAUGCUAGGGUUUAAUUAUAGUAUGUGGGUUUAUUGAUAAAUUUGAGAUUUGUUAUUAAUUUCAUUUUGUACUUAAUAGUAAUUACGCAAUCGGAUAAAAUAGAUAAUUAACAUUUUAAAUUUAAAUUAAGUGUAAAAAGAGGUUAUAAGGAUUUAAAUAAAAUUUCCCUUCUCUUAACUCUCUUUCCUCGCCCAAGUCGGCUGUCCACCUCCCAGAAUAGCCAGCAUUAAUUAUAGGCUUAAUGAUGAUAUCAAUUAUUUGAAUCAAACAGAUCCCCACCAAUCGUUUGAACAUAACCAUAAAGUGUCCGAAACUUUUACGCCAAUCAGUCACCACAUGCAUGAUUCCCAUAUUGAUGAUAAUUUCUUUACCUCUUUAACGCACUCGAUCCAAUUCUAAGAGUGGGGUCUAGCUAUAUUUGAGACACCUUAUGCUUUUGAAAAUUCUUCAAUCUAUCAGUCUAAAACACAUGAGUAGAUGAUGUAUAAUUGAGAAAAAGAAGUGACAUUAUUAUAUAGGAAAACUAAUGAAAAUAGUUUGAAAACAUUGACUUUUAAUAUAAAAUACAUAAAGGUGUUGUAAGUGAAUAGUACAUGUUGACCCUAAAAACUACCAAGCCUACGUGGCGCGCAGGCCGAGUAACUAAUAAGCUAACUACGCCAUUCGGUUGUUUGUGGGGCAUGUCAACUCAUCGGCCGAGCUUGGCCGAGGAGUAAAGUGUGUUGAUGUUGCGUUGAGCGUGCUGCUGACUUCUUGAUCUCAUGACUAUGGUCAAGGAAGGAACACGUCUCGGCCUUCGGGUUCUAGAGCCUGAAGACAACGCUACUAGUUCUGCGAAGUUUAUUAUCAAAAUCGGCUUUCAAUGUGCCGAAUGUAAUAACUUGUAACAUCUCACUUCGCCGAAAAGGCUAAUGAGAUGACCUCUGCCAAUAAGGAUUCGAAAAUCCUUCUUGACCGAGACUUAGAUAGAUAACCAAUCGGUCUCGACGCAGUGAUGUUCAUCCAAAUUGAAGGUGCUCCGCGGUUGGCUGAUUCUAUAGCAACAGUGAUGUUUAUCCAAACUGAAGAUGUUCCCUGGUUGCCUUCGCAAUGCUGUUUAUCCAAACUAAAGAUGUGUUGGCGAAAAAGAAAAUAAAAAAUCUCAAGAUGUUUGACAGGUUUCGCGUAGAGCGAGGGUUUGCGCAGAGCAGUUUGUGUGUUGAGUUGGAGAUCCUUUUUCGUUGCCAUUGCAUCUAUAUUUAUAGGACUAAAGUACUUGCUUUGCAUGGUAAGAUAAUGUUGCAGAGUUUAAUUGCCACUCUAAUUCCUGAAGUUGAUUUGCAUCAGAAACCAAAAACCAGGGCAUAUCCUUCAACUUGAGCCGUGGGAUUUGUUUCAAGACUUUUCAAACCUAAUAAAAGUCCAUCUAGGCUUAUCACAUCACAUUUCUAGCCCACCUAGGCUUCUCAUCUCAUCACCAAAACUCCAUCAGUAGCCUUUAUCCUAUGCAUGCAUAAUAAAAUGAAAUAUAAUCCCAUCAUGCAUGCCUUAUUAUCUGAUACUUUAAAGACCAUCUUCCAUCAAACACAUGGCAUCCAAUUCUUGCACGGCAUCAGUCAAUCACCCAUUCAAUCUCAUAUGUAUCUCCUCAUAGUCUUUAUCUGACCAACAUUUAAUUUGCACGCAAAUUGUUGCUUAACCAGAUAAGAGUCUCAAUGCUUGAGAUAUAGUUUGCAUCCCAUUUAUCUAAUAUAAAAACAAUUCUUUACUAAAAGAUAAUUAUUAUGAUAAAACCAUAAUAAUAUCUUUUAAUAACAAAAUUAUCUUCACCUUUUCAUUCGUCGGUCUGGCACUAUGCUCAACCAAUAGCCUCGAUUGCAUGGGUCGAUGAUGUAAAUUUAGGUCCAAACAUUACCCCUAGGUCAUUCGGUUGUUUACAGGGCGUGCUAACUCGUCGGUCGAGCUCGGCCGAGGAGUAAAAUGUGUUGAUGUCGGGUUGAGCGCGAGGCUGACUUCUCGAUCUUGCGACUGCGGCCGAGGAAGAAACACGUCUUGACUUUCAGGUUUUAGAGCUUGAAGACAAAGCUACUAAUUCUACAAGUUCACAAAUCGUCGGCGCCAGAUUCGGUCACGGUGAUUAUGUUCGUGAGAGUAUAAACACGCCAAAUCGACACUAGAGUAUAGGGACACAAAUACUCAAAACAAAUGUACGUCUUGAUUGCGAAAGUGGUUCGGCCGUUAGAAUGUCAAACUCUAAAAUCUACUUGCGAAUAACCGAUCAUAAACAACUCGGCGUUCAAUGUGCCGAAUGUAACUUGUAACACCUCACUUCAUCAAAAAGGUUAAUGAGAUGACCUUUGCCAAUAAGGAUUCGAAAAUCCUUCUCGACCGAGACUUGGAUAGAUAACUAGUCGGCCCUGUCGCAGUGUUGUUUAUCCAAACUGAAGGUGCUUCACAGUCAACUGAUUCUACGACAACAGUGUUGUUUAUCCAAAUUGAAGAUGUUCGCCAGUUGCCUUCAUAGUGUUGUUUAUCCAAAAUGAAGAUGUGUUGGUGAAAAAGGAAAACAAAGAUCUCAAGGUUGUUGAGAGGUUUCGCGUAGAGCGAGGGUUUGCGUAGGGCAAUUUGUGUGUUGAAUUGGAGAUCAUUUUUCGUUGCCAUUGCAUUUAUAUUUAUAGGACUAAAGUACUUGCUUUGCACGGUAAGAUGAUGUUGCAGAGUUUAAUUGCCACUCUAAUUCCUGAAGUUGAUUCACAUCAGAAACCAGAAACCAGGGCAUAUCCUUCAACCUGAGCCGUGGGAUUUGUUCCAAGACUUUUCAAACCUAAUAAAAGUCUAUCUAGGCUUAUCACAUCACAUUUUUAGCCCACCUAGGCUUCUCAUCUCAUCACCAAAACUCCAUCAGUAGCCUUUAUCCCAUGCAUGCAUAAUAAAAUGAAAUAUAAUCCCAUCAUGCAUGCCUUAUUAUCUGAUACUUUAAAGACCAUCUUCCAUCAAAUACAUGGCAUCCAAUUCUUGCACGGCAUCAGUUAAUCACCCAUUCAAUCUCAUAUGUAUCUCCUCAUAGUCUUUAUCUGACCAACAUUUAAUUUACACGCAAAUUGUUGCUUAACCAGAUAAGAGUCUCAAAGCUUGAGAUAUAGUUUGCAUCCCAUUUAUCUUAUAUAAAAACAAUUAUUUACAAAAAGAUAAUUAUUAUGAUAAAACCAUAAUAAUAUCUUUUAAUAACAAAAUUAUCUUCACCUUUUCAUUCGUCGGUCUAGCACUAUGCUCAACCAACGACCUCGAUUGCACGGGCCGAUGGUAUAAAUUUGGGUCCAAACAUUGCCCCCUAGUUUCCUUGAGUUUCGGCUCGUAACCUGAAUGUUUAAGGAAAUUAACUAUUCGUAGCCAACAACAUUUCGUCGUAUUGCCGAAACAAAUUUUGCUUCUUUAAAAUCACCUUUGUUCUGCUAAUGUUGUGAUCUCCUUCUGCUAAUUCACCGUUUGUCUAUUCCAUGCACAUGCAUGCAUUCUUACUUUAACAUUCAAUGGGUACCAAUUAUUUUCAGCAGCCCAUCUAUGAUGGCAGAAAAGCUGCAAUGGAGAGCAGAUGGCAGAAAAUGAGGGAGCUACAGCAGCCCUCGACUGCCGAGGUUGAGAAAAAAUUUGGAGUCAAGACCGAGAAGAACUGGGGUCGAGGGUAAAGUAAAGCUGAGAAGAACUGGGGUCGAGGUCGAUAAAAACCAUUCCUGGAGCUCGGCCUGCCUAUAUAUACAUAUCUAUAAAAGUAGCAUAAUUGUCUGAUGUGAUCUGCCAGCCAUGCAGUUGGCAUAUAUAUAUAUAUAUAUAUAUAUAUAUAUGUGUGUGUGUACACGGUAUCAUUCCUUCUUGGUAGUAGCACCCUGAAGCAAGCUAUAUAUAUAUAUAACCAAAGCCAUAAACUCAAAUCUUGGCCUAUUGGCUGUAAUGAUGAUGUCUGCCAUGCAUGUCUCUUCGACUUCGGCCUAAUGGUUGGCCGAGCGUAGGCCUGGUACCAUUUUUUUUUUCUUUAAUUUUUUUUUUUUUGAUUUUGAGAACUGCCAUCUCUCUUUCUAUCUCAUGUGAUGUGAUGUUGUUGAUGGGCCAUCUGACACACCUAAAGUGGACGCUGACUUGCAAAUGGGGCCGAGUUAAGCCUUGUGAUGCCAUCUUUUGGAUUGCCGCAUAUAAAAUGUUGCCCCCUUAUUUUUUUUAUGCCUCGGCUGAACAGCCGAAUGGUUAAGAAAAUAAAUUCUUAUUUGUGAUAGCUUGGCCUAUUGAGAAAACUGGCAGCUCGACCAAUCAAAGUUAGCAACGCUAAUUAUACCAUCUUCUUAAGCAUCGGCUGCAUAGCCGAAUGGUGAAGAAAAUAAAUUCUUAUUCUUUUUUUUAAGAAACAAAAAUAAGUGGUCGAACCAUAAUCAGGCGGAGGUUGACGAUGCUUUAUUCUAAGCCGAGAUUUUUUAAUAUCAAAAUUCUCAAAUUUAUUUCGCUCUAGGCUGAAUAAAGAAUUUUCUCCAAAUAUUUUUGCCUUGAUGAAAUAUUUUUUAUUUUCGGCCUUCGAAUGUGUUGAACAAUUAUUAUGCCCCCCCCCCCGAGGCAUAAUUACUUCUCCAAUUUCGGCUUUCAACUUGAACAACUUAGCCGAACGAGAUUUCUCCAUAUCGACUAUAUCACCAAUAAUCAUAUCGAUUGGCGUGGUUUGUUCAGCUGAAACCAUGAAUUGGUCUUGUUCGUCAUUGGAACACUUUUUUGAUGAAUCAUUUCAGAGUCGAUUUGUGGCUUAGAAACUUGAACCUUUUCCUCUAGGCCUACCAAACUUUCAGUCUCUACCGAAAAAACAGAUGACCUAGGUUCUUCUUUGGUCGUCUCGACAAUGUUCUGAGACUGGAUUUUGACUGUGGCCAAAGCAGAAAUUUGCCCCUCGGCCUCUUGCCUUUCAGAAAUUCUACCCCAUCUCUCGAAACGUUGUUUUUGCUCCUUUAAUAGGCGAUGAAACUCAUCCUAUGAAGCCUGAUCGAGAUAUAUCAUGUGUACUUCGUAGUUUUAGCACUGGGUCCUACUGGGUGUGCCAAAAUGUUGACCCUAAAAACUAGCAAGCCUACGUGGCGCACAGGCCGAGUAACUAAUAAGCUAACUAUGUCCUUCAGUUGUUUGUGGGGCGUGCCAACUCGUCGGCCGAGCUCGGCGGAUGAGUAAAAUGUAUUGAUGUUGUGUUGAGCGCACUGCUGACUUCUUAAUCUUGCGACUACGGCCAAGGAAGGAACACGUCUCGGCCUUCGGGUUAUAGAGCCUGAAGACAAGGCUGCUAGUUCUACGAAGUUCAAUAUCAAAAUUGGUUUUCAAUGUGCCGAACGUAAUAACUUGUAACACCUCACUUUGACAAAAAGGCUAAUGAGAUGACCUCUGCCAAUAAGGAUUCGAAAAUCCUUCUCGACCGAGACUUGGAUAGAUAACCAGUCGAUCUCGACGUAGUGCUGUUUAUCCAAACUGAAGGUGCUCCGCAAUCGACUGAUUCUACGGCAACAAUGCUGUUUAUCCAAACUGAAGAUGUUCGCCGGUUGCCUUCAUAGUGCUAUUUAUCCAAACUGAAGAUGUGUUGGUGAAAAAGAAAAUAAAAAAUCUUAAGAUGUUUGAGAGGUUUCGCGUAGAGUAAGGGUUUGCGCAGGGCAGUUUGUG